Molecule: ribosomal RNA, 254 nt
Filed under: uncultured bacterium
Lineage: Bacteria
Description: partial 16S ribosomal RNA
Rfam family: Bacterial small subunit ribosomal RNA
Source: RNAcentral
UACGUAGGGGGCAAGCGUUGUUCGGAAUGACUGGGCGUAAAGGGUGCGUAGGCGGUGUAGCAAGUUAGAAGUGAAAUACCUAGAGCUUAACUCAGGUGCUGCUUCUAAAACUGCUAUACUUGAGUGCAGUAGAGGAAAGUGGAAUUCCUAGUGUAGCGGUGGAAUGCAUAGAUAUUAGGAGGAACAUCAGUGGCGAAGGCGACUUUCUGGACUGUAACUGACGCUGAGGCACGAAAGUGUGGGGAGCAAACAGG